Molecule: ribosomal RNA, 253 nt
Filed under: uncultured bacterium
Lineage: Bacteria
Description: partial 16S ribosomal RNA
Rfam family: Bacterial small subunit ribosomal RNA
Source: RNAcentral
UACGUAGGGGGCUAGCGUUGUCCGGAUUUAUUGGGCGUAAAGAGCGCGUAGGCGGCCUUGUAAGUCCGUUGUGAAAACUCGAGGCUCAACCUCGAGACGCCGGUGGAAACUGCAAAGCUAGAGUCCGGAAGAGGAGAGUGGAAUUCCUGGUGUAGCGGUGAAAUGCGCAGAUAUCAGGAAGAACACCCGUGGCGAAGGCGGCUCUCUGGGACGGUACUGACGCUGAGGCGCGAAAGCGUGGGGAGCAAACAGG